GUGCUUUGGAGGACAUCGUUGCGCUGCUGACUUCUAACACUGAGGAAAUACUGCUACACAACCUUGAACUACUUCACACAUCGAAAAAGAACACGUACUCUUUCUCUACCAAAAGUGAAUUUAUCAGUUACACAUACAAGGUGAUCCUGCCUUAUCCUGGAGAAAGAAAUGUUAUGCAAGAGGCCAAGAAGAAGCUAAACAAACAAGCCAUGAUGGAUUCCCAUCUCAGCUUAUUACCAUUGGGACAUGUCCUUUUUGUCCAAUCACAUUUCUACAUGGCAGUACAGUCUUCAUCAAACCUAAGCAUUAAAAAAAAAGUUUUCUCUGGGUCUUUGGGUCUUUUGUUUCGGAAGGCUCCUGUAUUACAUAAAACUUUGUUAAAUAAAUUUGUUAUACUUUUUU
RNAcentral lists this long non-coding RNA (402 nucleotides) under Homo sapiens (human). RNAcentral's name for it is "HSALNT0373316". The record is from RNAcentral. Lineage: Eukaryota; Metazoa; Chordata; Mammalia; Primates; Hominidae.